This 2495-nucleotide long non-coding RNA is filed under the name Ovis aries (sheep). Its description in RNAcentral is "lncRNA (ENSOARG00000026631.1)". The record is from RNAcentral. Lineage: Eukaryota; Metazoa; Chordata; Mammalia; Artiodactyla; Bovidae.
UGGCCGGCCAGCCCUUUGCGGGGCAGGGCGGGGUAGGGAGGCGGGUGGGGCAGCCCUGGCUUCUGUGCCUGGGCCAGGCGGGGGCCUUCUCUGCAUCUGGUUGGGCUGCCUGUCCUGGCCUGCAGGCGGCGCUGACCUCCAGAAAACCCCAGCUCCAAACACAGCCUCGAGGGACACAGUCCACAGCAAAUGGCGCGCUGAGCGCGGUGAAAGCCAGUGGCGGCAGCUGAGGGGAUUCGGACACACACAGAGCCCCACACGGCAACGAGAACACAGCACAGACGCCAGUCCAGACCCACUCACAGCCGUGCUGGCCCAGCGACCGAACGCUCGACGCAGAGGCGCAGAUCACGAGUACGACCCAACCACGCGUGUCCACGGAACACACUCUCUAGGUCCAGAGACGCAAAUGGGUGAAAGCAAAGGACAAAAAGAUGCCUCCUGCACACCGCACCCGAUCCGGAAUUCCACGAGGAAAAUUCCACUGUCAGAUAACUCAUUCCUCAGGCUCCAGUUCAUGAAACAAGCACGAGGCUCAUACGCCGAAAAUGGCAGUUCUUCAGGUCACUUGGGGACCAGUAAGUAGUCAGGUCUCAUUGAGGGGAAUCCCUCAAACCAUGAGCUCCUACAAAACCCACAGGGAGAACCUGGUCAGCGGAUCUAGGGUUCACGUGGAAAUGCACCGCGCUCGGCGCUCAGUCGCCAAGCCGUUAUCUUGGAAAGUCCUGUGACAAACAAUAUUCCAUGCUAGAACUAAGAAGAUUCUUUCAAAGCCUGAAAGGCAGAGGACUCAGGCACCAACAGAAAUGUUGAUUAGGAUGCUGUAUUUCUUUGCUUUCAGUGAGAGGCCAGUCUUAGUAAAAUACACACUCUUCAGCCCACUCUAAGGAUGGACCCAGCCGGGCCUUACUUCCCACUCUUGCAGUGACCCUGUUGCUUGGAGAAAUGAUGGUUAAGCAGCAGAGGCACCAGCUCUUCUAAACAUGGUGCCUAGAAGCCCUCUGCAGAAGCCAGCAAGGAUCCGUACAGGCUGGGAAGGAUCACACAUCCCACAGAGAAGCCAAGGUGGAGACGCUCUGAACCAUCUUACUGUCUCUUCACUUUCAAGAACACGAGCCACCUGGCUACUUUCCUUUAUAGCCAAAUAAGCACACACUUCUUAGGUCAAAUAAGCCAACAUACUCUCAUUUAGCAAAGUGUUUUAUUCAAAAGCUUCUCAGCACCAUCUAGUUGUCAGAAAGAAUGGAUGAUACCCCCUUUUUGUGCCCCACCCAACUCCCAAUUCCAGAGGCCGGAGUUAAACCAUUUGGCGAGAGCUCCCUCUAAUGAUUAUAAUUCAGAUCAUGGUAAGUUUUUGGUUGUUCUCUCACCCACUUUCUCUAACCCUCUACUUAACCACGACUCAAGUAGAGCCGUGUUCUCCACAGUUCAGAACAACUGGAAGGAAUCAUGUCGAUUUUGAUCAACCUCCCAUUCCUGGGCUAGUCAAGGCACACAGAAUUACCCUGACAAACAGACUUCAGUGAUGCCGCCUCGGAGGGACAGCGACACCGUCAGGAAGCAUGCAGUUUCGAGAGCUUGAAUAUCAGGGCACCUUCCCCCGACUCGACUCUAGGAGCAAGGCCCUCUCCAGACAGAUGUCCAGCAGGUUGCAAGUGGUGCCGACAUUCUGGGCCAGUACGAACUGAGGGUCAGAAUUCAGUUUCUGAAGCAGAGCCGCUACCUUCUCCGAAUUCAGUCCUGCUGGAAUACCCGCUCCGUUCAGGGCGCCCAUGCUGCCCGGCAGGGGGACGGUAGUUUUGGAGUCCUCAGGCUGGUGCCGGGACGGCACAGCACCUCGCAGACUGGGCGGUCCGACCUGCCUCUUGCACCCGGAGCACCAGCCAAGGAACAUCUUUUAAUGUCACGGUUAUAUCUACCACCUGCGGUGAUUUUCAAGCCCAACAAAAUAAAAUCUGCCACUGUUUCCACUGUCUCCCCAUCUAUUUGCCACGAAAUCAUGGGACCAGACGCCAUGGGCUUUGGUUUUGAAUGUUGAGACAGGUUUUCACUCUCCUUGCUCACCCUCAUUAGUAGGCUCUUUAGUUCCUCUUCACUUUCUGCCGUUCAGGUCAGGUCAGUUCAGGCGCUCAGGCGUGUCCGACGCUUUGCAACCCCACGAACCGUACCAUGCCAGGCCUCCCUGUCCAUCACCAACUCCCAGAGUCUACCCAAACCCAUGUCCAUUGAGUUGGUGAUGCCAUCCAACCAUCUCAUCCUCUGUCGUCCCCUUCUCCUCCUGCCUCCAAUCUUUCCCAGCAUCAGGGUCUUUUACAAUGAGUCAACUCUUCGCGUGAGGUGGCCAAAGUAUUGGAGUUUCACCUUCAGCAUCAGUCCUUCCAAUCAACACCCAGGACUGAUCUCCUUUAGGAAGGACUGGUUGGAUCUCCUUGCAGUCCAAGGGACUCUCAAGAGUCUUCUCCAACACCACAGUUCACAAGCAUCAAUUCUUCGGC